This is a long non-coding RNA of Gopherus evgoodei (Goodes thornscrub tortoise), 1022 nucleotides long. RefSeq lists it as uncharacterized. The record is from RefSeq and is a predicted model, not a curated record. The transcript has 3 exons. NCBI's taxonomy places the organism in Eukaryota, Metazoa, Chordata, Testudines, Testudinidae.
CCGCUGCUUGGGCAGUGCUAGGUGGGGGCUCCCUGCCCCUCCCCGCCGCCCGGGGCCGACGUUCGGAUGAGGCGCUGGGCAGAGCCCGGACGGGGUUACUCCCCUCCCCCCCGGCUCGCGACCGCCAGGCGUUUGCUGCGUCGCGCGCCUGCUCUCGGCGGUUCUACGGCAGCCGCGCAGGGACCGGGAGGCGGCGGGCGCCAGCGGACGGAGACAGGAUGCAAGAGAGAAAACACAUUCUUCUCUGAGACUGGAGGGCCAGGACUGAAGUCCAGGAUCAAUGCCAAAAAGCACUGCUAAACCAAGAGAAAAGCUGCUGACCAUACUGCUUUGUUUGACCAAGAGGAGAAGCCAGAGAGCACGGACAGGAUGCGUACCAGCGGAAAAAGUGAACAGGACAUGUAUUUCACUGACAGUCCCUUUGAAAGAAUCUGACCUUUCUAUGAUUUCUCAAAGUCAGCUUUUGAAGUUACUACUGCAAUUGUCUCAAAAGCUACUGUUUUUGGUUUAAACUGAAAACUAGAAUCCCUGGCUGCAAUGUAUUUGUAUUAAGUUUGUGAGUUCUUCUGAGGCAGCGAACUUGUUUUCUAUCUUAGGGGUUCUUAAACAUUAAAUAGAGCGGGUCACACUUUAAUAGUUUCUCUCACUGUCCAUGUCCUCUCUAGUCAUGUCUGCAUAGGCCACCUUCCUUUACACUAGCAAUCACAUAACAUCCCUGUGGCAACCACAGCAAUUCCUUCCCUUGAACAGGAAUAUUAAGUGAGUAAUAUUUGGAGCUGUUUUUAUUGAUAGUUACCAGCUGGAAAUAGAGAGCCAGCAUUGACCAGCCAGCUCCCCCUCGAUCACCAGCAAGCCAUCUACUUUGGGUACUUAAUAAUAAAAAGGUUACAGAGCACUAUAAUGGGAACCAGACUCAGUAUUAGGUAUGCUAUACAAAGCCAUUAAGCUAUAUUGUUAGCACAACAUAAAGCUCAUACAAUGUGUUAACGAUGCUCAAAUCAAGUAGAAAACACAUUUGCAAA